ACAAGCGUGGAGUAUGUGGUUUAAUUCGACGCAACGCGAAGAACCUUUACCAGGACUUGACAUCCUCUGACGACUGUAGAGAUACAGUUCUCCGCCUUCGGGUGGACAGAGAGACAGGUGGUGCAUGGUUGUCGUCAGCUCGUGUCGUGAGAUGUUGGGUUAAGUCCCGCAACGAGCGCAACCCUUGUUUUUAGUUGCCAGCAGGUAAGGCUGGGCACUCUAGAGAUACUGCCGGUGACAAACCGGAGGAAGGUGGGGAUGACGUCAAAUCAUCAUGCCCUUUAUGUCCUGGGCUACACACGUACUACAAUGGCCUGUACAAAGGGUAGCGAAGCCGCGAGGUGAAGCCAAUCCCAAAAAGCAGGUCUCAGUUCGGAUUGUAGGCUGCAACUCGCCUACAUGAAGUCGGAAUCGCUAGUAAUCGCGGAUCAGCAUGCCGCGGUGAAUACGUUCCCGGGCCUU
RNAcentral lists this ribosomal RNA (462 nucleotides) under uncultured Peptococcaceae bacterium. RNAcentral's name for it is "bacterial SSU rRNA". It matches the Rfam family "Bacterial small subunit ribosomal RNA", at positions 925 to 1382 of the family's 1533-position model. The record is from RNAcentral. Lineage: Bacteria; Bacillati; Bacillota; Clostridia; Eubacteriales; Peptococcaceae.